CCUGCUCAAUGAUAAUAAAUAGCCGCAAUUUACGUGCUAAGGUAGCAUAAUAACCUGUUCUUUAAUUAAGAAAUAGAAUGAAAGGAUAAACGUUUUUAUUCUAUAUAUACAAUAUAAAUUUAAAUUAGCAAUAUAGUCAAAAACCUAUUAAAAUUAAGGAAGACGACAAGACCCUACAAACUUAAAUAUUUAACUGGGGUAGUAAAAUAAUAAAUUUUUAUUAUAGUAUUAAAUAUAUAAGCUAAAAAGAAUUAACUAAAGUUACUAUAGGGAUAACAGCGUAAUAUAUAUUUAAAGUUCUUAUUAAAAUAUAUUAAUGCGACCUCGAUGUUGAAUUAAUUAAUCUUCAAUAAGUAUAACUACUGAAAGAAAGUCUGUUCGACUUAUAAAUAAUUACAU
Molecule: ribosomal RNA, 399 nt
Filed under: Ochyrocera aff. coerulea OC443
Lineage: Eukaryota; Metazoa; Arthropoda; Arachnida; Araneae; Ochyroceratidae
Description: partial large subunit ribosomal RNA
Source: RNAcentral